Dendrobium catenatum is the source of this 107-nucleotide small nucleolar RNA. The record is from RefSeq and is a predicted model, not a curated record. Lineage: Eukaryota; Viridiplantae; Streptophyta; Magnoliopsida; Asparagales; Orchidaceae.
AAAGCAUGGUGAUGACAUUUCUCAAGCAUUUCCUUAAAUCUCUCCCAACUCUCACAAAUUGAUUCUCCUUCAAAUUGGGUAAAAUAAUUGAUUUUAUUUCUAAGUUU